RNAcentral lists this ribosomal RNA (473 nucleotides) under uncultured Oxalobacteraceae bacterium. Its description in RNAcentral is "bacterial SSU rRNA". It matches the Rfam family "Bacterial small subunit ribosomal RNA", at positions 8 to 510 of the family's 1533-position model. Lineage: Bacteria; Pseudomonadati; Pseudomonadota; Betaproteobacteria; Burkholderiales; Oxalobacteraceae. The record is from RNAcentral.
AGAGUUUGAUCCUGGCUCAGAUUGAACGCUGGCGGCAUGCUUUACACAUGCAAGUCGAACGGCAGCGCGGGGCAACCUGGCGGCGAGUGGCGAACGGGUGAGUAAUAUAUCGGAACGUACCCAGAAGUGGGGGAUAACGUAGCGAAAGUUACGCUAAUACCGCAUACGAUCUACGGAUGAAAGUGGGGGACCUUCGGGCCUCAUGCUUGUGGAGCGGCCGAUAUCUGAUUAGCUAGUUGGUAGGGUAAAGGCCUACCAAGGCAACGAUCAGUAGCUGGUCUGAGAGGACGACCAGCCACACUGGGACUGAGACACGGCCCAGACUCCUACGGGAGGCAGCAGUGGGGAAUUUUGGGCAAUGGGCGCAAGCCUGAUCCAGCAAUGCCGCGUGAGUGAAGAAGGCCUUCGGGUUGUAAAGCUCUUUUGUCAGGGAAGAAACGGCUGAGGAUAAUACCUCGGCUAAUGACGUACCG